GAUGAACGCUGGCGGCGUGCCUAAUACGUGCAAGUCGAGCGAACAGAUGAGGAGCUUGCUCCUUCGACGUUAGCGGCGGACGGGUGAGUAACACGUAGGUAACCUACCUAUAAGACUGGGAUAACUUCGGGAAACCGGAGCUAAUACCGGAUAAUAUUUUGAACCGCAUGGUUCAAUAGUGAAAGAUGGCUUUGCUAUCACUUAUAGAUGGACCUGCGCCGUAUUAGCUAGUUGGUAAGGUAACGGCUUACCAAGGCAACGAUACGUAGCCGACCUGAGAGGGUGAUCGGCCACACUGGAACUGAGACACGGUCCAGACUCCUACGGGAGGCAGCAGUAGGGAAUCUUCCGCAAAGGGCGAAAGCCUGACGGAGCAACGCCGCGUGAGUGAUGAAGGUCUUCGGAUCGUAAAACUCUGUUAUUAGGGAAGAACAAACGUGUAAGUAACUGUGCACGUCUUGACGGUACCUAAUCAGAAAGCCACGGCUAACUACGUG
This 497-nucleotide ribosomal RNA is filed under the name uncultured bacterium. Its description in RNAcentral is "partial 16S ribosomal RNA". It matches the Rfam family "Bacterial small subunit ribosomal RNA", at positions 28 to 507 of the family's 1533-position model. The record is from RNAcentral.